GGAUGAACGCUGGCGGCGUGCUUAACACAUGCAAGUCGAACGGUGAACACGGAGCUUGCUCUGUGGGAUCAGUGGCGAACGGGUGAGUAACACGUGAGCAACCUGCCCCUGACUCUGGGAUAAGCGCUGGAAACGGCGUCUAAUACUGGAUAUGUGACGUGACCGCAUGGUCUGCGUUUGGAAAGAUUUUUCGGUUGGGGAUGGGCUCGCGGCCUAUCAGCUUGUUGGUGAGGUAAUGGCUCACCAAGGCGUCGACGGGUAGCCGGCCUGAGAGGGUGACCGGCCACACUGGGACUGAGACACGGCCCAGACUCCUACGGGAGGCAGCAGUGGGGAAUAUUGCACAAUGGGCGAAAGCCUGAUGCAGCAACGCCGCGUGAGGGAUGACGGCCUUCGGGUUGUAAACCUCUUUUAGCAGGGAAGAAGCGAAAGUGACGGUACCUGCAGAAAAAGCGCCGGCUAACUACGUGCCAGCAGCCGCGGUAAUACGUAGGGCGCAAGCGUUAUCCGGAAUUAUUGGGCGUAAAGAGCUCGUAGGCGGUUUGUCGCGUCUGCUGUGAAAUCCCGAGGCUCAACCUCGGGCCUGCAGUGGGUACGGGCAGACUAGAGUGCGGUAGGGGAGAUUGGAAUUCCUGGUGUAGCGGUGGAAUGCGCAGAUAUCAGGAGGAACACCGAUGGCGAAGGCAGAUCUCUGGGCCGUAACUGACGCUGAGGAGCGAAAGGGUGGGGAGCAAACAGGCUUAGAUACCCUGGUAGUCCACCCCGUAAACGUUGGGAACUAGUUGUGGGGUCCAUUCCACGGAUUCCGUGACGCAGCUAACGCAUUAAGUUCCCCGCCUGGGGAGUACGGCCGCAAGGCUAAAACUCAAAGGAAUUGACGGGGACCCGCACAAGCGGCGGAGCAUGCGGAUUAAUUCGAUGCAACGCGAAGAACCUUACCAAGGCUUGACAUAUACGAGAACGGGCCAGAAAUGGUCAACUCUUUGGACACUCGUAAACAGGUG
Molecule: ribosomal RNA, 1004 nt
Filed under: Microbacterium laevaniformans
Lineage: Bacteria; Bacillati; Actinomycetota; Actinomycetes; Micrococcales; Microbacteriaceae
Description: bacterial SSU rRNA
Rfam family: Bacterial small subunit ribosomal RNA
Source: RNAcentral